ACAUGCAGUCGAACGGUAGCACAGAGAGCUUGCUCUUGGGUGACGAGUGGCGGACGGGUCCGUUAUGUCUGGGAAACUGCCCGAUGGAGGGGGAUAACUACUGCAUACGGUAGCUAAUACCGCAUAACGUCGCAAGACCAAAGUGGACGGGACCUUCGGGCCUCACACCAUCGGAUGUGCCCAGAUGGGAUUAGCUAGUUGGUGAGGUAAUGGCUCACCAAGGCGACGAUCCCUAGCUGGUCUGAGAGGAUGACCAGCCACACUGGAACUGAGACACGGUCCAGACUCCUACGGGAGGCAGCAGUGGGGAAUAUUGCACAAUGGGCGCAAGCCUGAUGCAGCCAUGCCGCGUGUAUGAAGAAGGCCUUCGGGUUGUAAAGUACUUUCAGCGAGGAGGAAGGCAUUAGGGUUAAUAACCUUAGUGAUUGACGUUACUCGCAGAAGAAGCACCGGCUAACUCCGUGCCAGCAGCCGCGGUAAUACGGAGGGUGCGAGCGUUAAUCGGAAUUACUGGGCGUAAAGCGAGCGCAGGUGGUUUAUUAAGUCUGGUGUAAAAGGCAGUGGCUCAACCAUUGUAUGCAUUGGAAACUGGUAGACUUGAGUGCAGGAGAAGAGAGUGGAAUUCCAUGUGUAGCGGUGAAAUGCGUAGAUAUAUGGAGGACAACACCGGUGGGCGAAGCGGCUCUCCUGCCUGUAACUGACACUGAAGGCUCGAAGCGUGGGGAGCAAACCGAAUAGAUACCCUGGUAGUCCCCCCCUAAAACAAGAAUGCUAAAUGGAGG
Molecule: ribosomal RNA, 782 nt
Filed under: uncultured bacterium
Lineage: Bacteria
Description: bacterial SSU rRNA
Rfam family: Bacterial small subunit ribosomal RNA
Source: RNAcentral